UGCUCGGCCGGAACCUUGUUGCCAGGGGAGACCGGCGCUUUACGGCAGGACGUUUUGAAUGGCGGCGGGGGAAAAGUUGCGGCCGCAGGUCUAAUCAAGAGGCAGACAGCUGGACGGGAGUGAUGCUGUGCUCUCACUCUAAGCGAAAUCUGACAUUCUGGGGCUUUCCUUAAUCGUACUUUCUGCUUUUAUGAAGAGAAGAGAAAUUGGAGUUGAAAGAUUUACAAGGAGAACAAUGACCCAGAAAUACACAGCUUGACUGCAGCUAGCUGAGGAACUAAUCUUGAAUAAAAUGUGGAUUUUAGAGAUAUCAGCAUACAGUUUUAGUGCCCUUCCAGGUGGUCUUUCAAUUUCUAUUUUUGCUUCCAAGGGAAUUGAACAAGUUUUGAAGGUGUACCCUGAGAUGUUGUACAGUCUCAAAAAAAUGGUAAAGCCACUUGAAAUUUGCAAGUUCACUUAGAGCAGAGUUUGUAAAUAUUUAUCAAGAGAAAUGAUCCCUUUUUCACUUUCCUCAGCUUAUUUUUUUUUCUGUUUCUGUACUUUCCUAUGAAUUUAUUUGUUCAUUUAAAGCUUAAAGCUAUGAUUCCUGCUUGCAAGCUUUAAGUAUAAGGAGGUAAACCUCCAUAAAGCAUCAAUGUGUACAUACCUAUUUAUAGCUGUAAUGACUUGCAUGCAUACAAUUGGCUUUUCAAAAAAAUUCCUUGUUACAAAAAGUGUUUGUGAAAAUCACAAAGGCCUUCAAAACCAUUUUGUUUCUCUUGCUCUCCUUUUGCCCUACUUGUUGCAUAUUGUUUUUCUCUUGAAAGCAAUUAACCUGUGCUGAUACCUAUGUCAGGCUGAUGUGCUGUAUAAACUAAAUGUGUAAAAAUAUAAUGAGGGCCUACAAUUCCAUUCUUAUGUUAAUUUUAACUUUAACUGUGAUCUCUGUUUCAGAGCUUUCAGACAAGCAAAAAUUGAUUUUAGAGAGGGAAAAAGUUUGAAAAAGUCAUUCCACAUUCUUCAUCCAAAAGGCAAAGCUCGUAUGGUCUAAGUGUAAUUGCAGUGCAAAUUUGGGUACAAGCAUUGGGUCGUGAACAGUUGUGAUUUUUUCGUUUGUUUUCAACAUACCCAGAACUCAGUUGAGAAUGUCUGGUUCAAUAUUUUCUACGAGAUGCAGUAGCAAAAUACUGUAUCAAAAUACUAUUUUUAGUUUUAAAUUACAUCCGAACUUGUGACUGAUCAAAUUACAGUUGUAGCACAGUUAGAUUACCCAGUUUUAUUAGUAGCACAUUUUCCAUUCAUCUUUGUUUAUGAUGAUUCUGCGUAAGUGUUCUUAUCCAUUAUAUUAUCUAAUUAAACACUAUUGUGAAUAUUU
RNAcentral lists this long non-coding RNA (1354 nucleotides) under Strigops habroptila (Kakapo). Its description in RNAcentral is "lncRNA (ENSSHBG00005019734.1)". Lineage: Eukaryota; Metazoa; Chordata; Aves; Psittaciformes; Psittacidae. The record is from RNAcentral.